AGAGUUUGAUCAUGGCUCAGAUUGAACGCUGGCGGCAGGCCUAACACAUGCAAGUCGAGCGGUAACAUUUCUAGCUUGCUAGAAGAUGACGAGCGGCGGACGGGUGAGUAAUGCUUGGGAAUAUGCCUUAGGGUGGGGGACAACAGUUGGAAACGACUGCUAAUACCGCAUGACGUCUACGGACCAAAGGGGGCUUCGGCUCUCGCCCUUAGAUUAGCCCAAGUGGGAUUAGCUAGUUGGUGAGGUAAAGGCUCACCAAGGCGACGAUCCCUAGCUGGUUUGAGAGGAUGAUCAGCCACACUGGAACUGAGACACGGUCCAGACUCCUACGGGAGGCAGCAGUGGGGAAUAUUGCACAAUGGGCGCAAGCCUGAUGCAGCCAUGCCGCGUGUGUGAAGAAGGCCUUAGGGUUGUAAAGCACUUUCAGUAAGGAGGAAAGGUUAGUAGUUAAUACCUGCUAGCUGUGACGUUACUUACAGAAGAAGCACCGGCUAACUCCGUGCCAGCAGCCGCGGUAAUACGGAGGGUGCGAGCGUUAAUCGGAAUUACUGGGCGUAAAGCGUACGCAGGCGGUUUGUUAAGCGAGAUGUGAAAGCCCCGGGCUCAACCUGGGAACUGCAUUUCGAACUGGCAAACUAGAGUAUGAUAGAGGGUGGUAGAAUUUCAGGUGUAGCGGUGAAAUGCGUAGAGAUCUGAAGGAAUACCGAUGGCGAAGGCAGCCACCUGGGUCGAUACUGACGCUCAUGUACGAAAGCGUGGGGAG
Molecule: ribosomal RNA, 763 nt
Filed under: uncultured marine microorganism
Description: bacterial SSU rRNA
Rfam family: Bacterial small subunit ribosomal RNA
Source: RNAcentral